RNAcentral lists this ribosomal RNA (253 nucleotides) under uncultured bacterium. RNAcentral's name for it is "partial 16S ribosomal RNA". It matches the Rfam family "Bacterial small subunit ribosomal RNA", at positions 524 to 776 of the family's 1533-position model. The record is from RNAcentral.
UACGGGGGGGGCAAGCGUUGUUCGGAAUUACUGGGCGUAAAGGGCUCGUAGGCGGCCAACUAAGUCAGACGUGAAAUCCCUCGGCUUAACCGGGGAACUGCGUCUGAUACUGGAUGGCUUGAGGUUGGGAGAGGGAUGCGGAAUUCCAGGUGUAGCGGUGAAAUGCGCAGAUAUCAGGAAGAACACCCGUGGCGAAGGCGGCUCUCUGGGACGGUACUGACGCUGAGACGCGAAAGCGUGGGGAGCGAACAGG